RNAcentral lists this ribosomal RNA (253 nucleotides) under uncultured bacterium. Its description in RNAcentral is "partial 16S ribosomal RNA". It matches the Rfam family "Bacterial small subunit ribosomal RNA", at positions 524 to 776 of the family's 1533-position model. The record is from RNAcentral.
UACGUAGGGUGCGAGCGUUAAUCGGAAUUACUGGGCGUAAAGCGUGCGCAGGCGGUUCAGUAAGGCAGAGGUGAAAUUCCCGGGCUCAACCUGGGAACUGCCUUUGUGACUGCAUGACUAGAGUACGGCAGAGGGGGAUGGAAUUCCGCGUGUAGCAGUGAAAUGCGUAGAUAUGCGGAGGAACACCGAUGGCGAAGGCAAUCCCCUGGGCCUGUACUGACGCUCAUGCACGAAAGCGUGGGGGGCAAACAGG